UACGUAUGGGGCAAGCGUUAUCCGGAUUUACUGGGUGUAAAGGGAGCGUAGACGGCUUGGCAAGUCUGAAGUGAAAUGCCGGGGCUUAACCCCGGAACUGCUUUGGAAACUGUCAGGCUUGAGUGCCGGAGGGGUAAGCGGAAUUCCUGGUGUAGCGGUGAAAUGCGUAGAUAUCAGGAGGAACACCGGUGGCGAAGGCGGCUUACUGGACGGCAACUGACGUUAAGGCUCGAAAGCGUGGGGAG
This 245-nucleotide ribosomal RNA is filed under the name uncultured Lachnospiraceae bacterium. RNAcentral's name for it is "partial 16S ribosomal RNA". It matches the Rfam family "Bacterial small subunit ribosomal RNA", at positions 524 to 768 of the family's 1533-position model. Lineage: Bacteria; Bacillati; Bacillota; Clostridia; Lachnospirales; Lachnospiraceae. The record is from RNAcentral.